This 490-nucleotide ribosomal RNA is filed under the name uncultured bacterium. RNAcentral describes it as "partial 16S ribosomal RNA". It matches the Rfam family "Bacterial small subunit ribosomal RNA", at positions 28 to 507 of the family's 1533-position model. The record is from RNAcentral.
GAUGAACGCUAGCUACAGGCUUAACACAUGCAAGUCGCGGGGCAGCAUGGGGGUUGCUUGCACUCCCCGAUGGCGACCGGCGCACGGGUGAGUAACGCGUAUCCAACCUGCCCUUCACCACGGGAUAACCCGGCGAAAGUCGGACUAAUACCGUAUGUUGUCCAUUGACGGCAUCCGAUUUGGACGAAAGGUUUGGCGGUGAAGGAUGGGGAUGCGUCCGAUUAGCUGGACGGCGGGGUGACGGCCCACCGUGGCGACGAUCGGUAGGGGUUCUGAGAGGAAGGUCCCCCACACUGGAACUGAGACACGGUCCAGACUCCUACGGGAGGCAGCAGUGAGGAAUAUUGGUCAAGGGGCGUAAGCCUGAACCAGCCAAGUAGCGUGCAGGAUGACGGCCCUAUGGGUUGUAAACUGCUUUUAUGCGGGGAUAAAGUGGCCCACGUGUGGGUUUUUGCAGGUACCGCAUGGAUAAGGACCGGCUAAUUCCGUG